This 106-nucleotide ribosomal RNA is filed under the name uncultured bacterium. RNAcentral describes it as "partial 16S ribosomal RNA". It matches the Rfam family "Bacterial small subunit ribosomal RNA", at positions 1365 to 1482 of the family's 1533-position model. The record is from RNAcentral.
AAUACGUUCCCGGGUCUUGUACACACCGCCCGUCACACCAUGGAAGUUGGUUCUACCUUAAGCUGCCGCUCAAACGGCAACCACGGUAGGGUCAAUGACUGGGGUG